ACUUGCCCUUCCUCUUGUGUCCCUGGUCUGACGUCAUCCCUAAUCCUUGAUUGUUUUCACCUGUGUUCCCCUCCCCCAUGUGUAUAAAGUCUUUGUCUUCCCCUGUCUGCGUUGCCAACGUAUUUUGUCGUCCUGUCGUCUACUGAAGCCCUGUUCCACAGUCGUGCAUUCUCAUUCACGUUAAGUAUUGCCACGUUUUAUUUUCUGUAUUUGUCCUCUCUAGUAGAGUGAUUUUGAGUUUGAUAUUUCUGGUUAGGAUUUUGAGUUUCAGUUUAGCUUUUGUUUGUAGCCUUUUGUUUUCCUCCUUCUGGAGCGUUUUCUGCUGUACCUUUUUGACUAUAGUGAGUGUAGAUAAGUUUCAUAGCCUGCGUGCUUUUCCUCUUCAGAGUGUUUUUGUUUGAUUAAUUUUCAUAUUCAAGAAAUUAAUAUCAGAGUAGAUUUUCCUCCAUCGGGAGCGCUUUCAGUUUAUUGUGUGUUUCAUGUCUUGUUCGUCUUGUAUGUCCUUCAGAAUUUCAUAGCCAUUUAAUUAUCAUUCUGACUAAAGAGCUGCAAAUCAGAACAAUAAAACCUGACAUUACUUCUGCCAUUUCUGCAUCUGAGUCCUCUCUUUUGUCCAAGUCUGACAGUAUACUUUGGCCAGACAUGGACUCAGCAGAGGCAGAGGUUCUACGGACCCAGGAAGCUCGUCUGAACCGCCAGGAAGAGUUUCAGACUGCCAUGGCAGCCAACAUGGGGCAGAUCUCCUCGCAAAUACAAGGACUCAGAAUAUCCGGACCUGACCACGGUUCCCACAUGUUAUCAUCACCUCAAAGAAGUGUUCAACAAAUCUAAAGCCUUGUCUCUUCCCCCUCAUCGCCCCUAUGACUGCGCCAUCAACUUGAUCCCCGGAUCCACCAUUCCCAAGGGGCGUCUCUAUUUCAGGACCAGAAAGAGCAGCCAUGAACGAAUACAUCUCCGCUUCCCUGAAAGCAGGAUUAAUCCGCCCCUCAUCAUCACCGGCUGGAGCCGGGUUCUUCUUUGUGGGGAAAAAGGAUGGAUCACUGACUCACCUUGCCGGACCCUCAGAGACAAUUUGUGGUGGAGGUAGAUGCAUCCAACGAUUAGGAGCAGUAUUAUCUCAGCGUUCGGAGAAGGACGGCAAGAUGCAUCCCUGCACCUUCCUGUCGAGACGGUUGUCCCAAGAAGAGCGAAAUUAUGACGUCGGCAACCGAGAACUGGCCGGGAUCCCAAAACGUCAAGCCUGAUGUCCUAUCGUGACUGUUUGAUCCCAAGCCUAAGACCAAGCAAGCCGAAACUAUCCUUCCACUGAAUUGUGUGGUCGGAGCGGUGACUUGGCCUAUAGAAAAUGAGGUUAAGCAAGCUAAUGGUGGAGCCCCUUCACCUCGUGGCUGUCCCAACAACCGCCUGUAUGUCCCCGCUGACACAGGUGAUUCAUUGGGCUCACACCUCGCUCCUUUCUUGUCAUCCGGGAGUCAAAAGAACCAUGUUUGUCAUCUCCCGGAGGUUUUGGUGGCCCGCUAUGGAGCCGGAGGUCCAGGAGUACAUCGAGGCUCGUUCGGUCUGCACUCGCAACAAGACGUCCUCCAAGGCUUGCACGGGGCUGUUUCAUCCACUACCCAUUCCAUCCAGACCAUGGUCGGAUAUUUCAUUGGACUUUGUCACAGGGCUUCCGGUCACCCAGGGGAACACCACUGUCCUCACGGUGGUCAAUCACUUCUCCAAGAUUCAUCGCAUUACCAAAAUUACCAUCCGCCAAGAAACAGCUGAGGCCAUGAUGAACCAGAUUUUCCGAGUCCAUGGGUUCCCGAGAGACAUCGUUUCGGACCGGGGGCCCCAAUUUGUGUUCAGAUUUUGGAAGGAGUUCUGUAGACUGAUCGGAGCCAAAGCCAGCCUAACAUCUGGAUACCACCCAGAAGCUAGCAAUUGGAAACCGGCCUCCGAUGCGUGGUACACCAGAUACCCUAAAGACGUCCAGCUCCCAACUACCAACCUGGCCAGAGAGUAUGGUUAUCAGCCAAGGAUUUAAAUCUCAGGGUUCCAUCCAAGAAAUUGGCUCCACGGUUCGUGGGUCCAUUCCCCAUCACCAGGAUUAUUGGUCCUGCAGCGGUUCGACUGCGCCUGCCUCGGUCCUUACAGGCACAUCCUACCUUCCACGUGAGCCAAGUCAAGCCAGUCAGAGAGAGCAAGAUGGUGCUUUGCAUUUUACAAUAUACCCAAGUGAACCACCACACAACUUCAUCUACAUGGAUGAGGCUGGCUUCAACUAAGCCACAUACACAGAUGACACCUCUGGCUGACAUGGAUGCAGCGCAUGAUGACAUCACAGCAGAUGCCUGCAGAGGCUGGAUAAGACAAGAUUCUUUCCACAGAGCGUCACAAGAGAAGAUAUUCGUCGUGAUGUGGAUGAGAAUUUGUGACCCAACAGACAGGAAUGUCAGGACAUGUUGGAAGACUGCACUGCAAUUCCUACAGCACUGCAUGUACAAGGAGAUUGUCCUAUGUUCACAUUUCUACUUUUGCUGUUUGAAUUGUUUUGAGAAAUGCACUUACUUUUUUGCAAAUGUCGAGGAUGAUUUGAGAAUAGCGACUGAGAAAAACUGUAAGUGAAACAAAUCUGUGAAAUCGAUUAAAUUCAAUUUGCGAAAGAAGAGAAGAAACUAUUGUGGUUGCUGGGGAAGUUAAACUGAGCGAUUCCUGUAGUUUUCAUUAAAUUGUGGACAACGCAGUG
Acanthopagrus latus (yellowfin seabream) is the source of this 2728-nucleotide long non-coding RNA. RefSeq lists it as uncharacterized. The transcript has 4 exons. NCBI's taxonomy places the organism in Eukaryota, Metazoa, Chordata, Actinopteri, Spariformes, Sparidae. The record is from RefSeq and is a predicted model, not a curated record.